GACGAACGCUGGCGGCGUGCCUAACACAUGCAAGUCGAGCGAAUGAAGUUCCUUCGGGAAUGGAUUUAGCGGCGGACGGGUGAGUAACACGUGGGCAACCUGCCUCAUAGAGGGGAAUAGCCUUCCGAAAGGGAGAUUAAUACCGCAUAAGAUUGUAGUACCGCAUGGUACAGCAAUUAAAGGAGCAAUCCGCUAUGAGAUGGGCCCGCGGCGCAUUAGCUAGUUGGUGAGGUAACGGCUCACCAAGGCGACGAUGCGUAGCCGACCUGGGAGGGUGAUCGGCCACAUUGGGACUGAGACACGGCCCAGACUCCUACGGGAGGCAGCAGUGGGGAAUAUUGCACAAUGGGGGAAACCCUGAUGCAGCAACGCCGCGUAAGUGAUGACGGCCUUCGGGUUGUAAAGCUCUGUCUUCAGGGACGAUAAUGACGGUACCUGAGGAGGAAGCCACGGCUAACUACGUGCCAGCAGCCGCCGUAA
Molecule: ribosomal RNA, 480 nt
Filed under: uncultured bacterium
Lineage: Bacteria
Description: partial 16S ribosomal RNA
Rfam family: Bacterial small subunit ribosomal RNA
Source: RNAcentral